GACGAACGCUGGCGGCGUGCUUAACACAUGCAAGUCGAACGGCAAGGCGCUGGUUUUGUGGGGUGCUCGAGUGGCGAACGGGUGAGUAACACGUGAGUACCCUGCCCUUGGCUUUGGGAUGACUUCAGGAAACUGGGGCUAUUCCCGGUUAGGAGCUCCUGCUGCAUGGUGGGGGUUGGAAAGUUUCGGCGGUUGGGGAUGGACUCGCGGCUUAUCCGCUUGUUGGUGGGGUAGUGGCUUACCAAGGCUUUGACGGGUAGCCGGCCUGAGAGGGUGACCGGCGACAUUGGGACUGAGGGACGGCCCAGACGCCUACGGGAGGCAGCAGGGGGGAAUAUUGCACAAUGGGCGGAAGCCUGAGGAAGCAACGCCGCGGGCGGGAUGACGGCCUUCGCGUUGUAAACCGCUUUCGCCUGUGACGAAGCGGGAGUGACGGUAAUGGGUAAAGAAGCACCGGCUAACUACGUG
Molecule: ribosomal RNA, 468 nt
Filed under: uncultured bacterium
Lineage: Bacteria
Description: partial 16S ribosomal RNA
Rfam family: Bacterial small subunit ribosomal RNA
Source: RNAcentral